Molecule: ribosomal RNA, 467 nt
Filed under: uncultured bacterium
Lineage: Bacteria
Description: partial 16S ribosomal RNA
Rfam family: Bacterial small subunit ribosomal RNA
Source: RNAcentral
GGACGAACGCUGGCGGCGCGCCUAACACAUGCAAGUCGAACGAGCGAGAGAGAGCUUGCUUUCUCGAGCGAGUGGCGAACGGGUGAGUAACGCGUGAGGAACCUGCCUCAAAGAGGGGGACAACAGUUGGAAACGACUGCUAAUACCGCAUAAGCCCACGGUGCCGCAUGGCACAGAGGGAAAAGGAGCAAUCCGCUUUGAGAUGGCCUCGCGUCCGAUUAGCUAGUUGGUGAGGUAAUGGCCCACCAAGGCGACGAUCGGUAGCCGGACUGAGAGGUUGAACGGCCACAUUGGGACUGAGACACGGCCCAGACUCCUACGGGAGGCAGCAGUGGGGAAUAUUGCACAAUGGGGGAAACCCUGAUGCAGCGACGCCGCGUGGAGGAGGAAGGUCUUCGGAUUGUAAACUCCUGUUGUUGGGGAAGAUAAUGACGGUACCCAACAAGGAAGAGACGGCUAACUACGUG